Molecule: long non-coding RNA, 462 nt
Filed under: Mytilus galloprovincialis (Mediterranean mussel)
Lineage: Eukaryota; Metazoa; Mollusca; Bivalvia; Mytilida; Mytilidae
Source: RNAcentral
AGUUCAAAUGACGUUGAUGUCCCGGUAAGCAAUUAUUCAAUCUAUCGUUAUUUCUUAUCUUGAUAGACAAAAGUCAGUGUUUUACAUGUAUAUUUGUAAUUGUGCGCUAUAAAGUCAAUACAAGGCAAAAUUGUACAAAAAGUAUCUACUGUUAGACAUUAAACAUUUUAGUUAUAUAUCUAGAAGCCACAGUUUAGACCUAGCAAGCAUUAAAGUUACUAACAGAAAAGUAAGACUUUUGUUUUAAUUCUUGACGUAAACUGCUGUUACUUACCUCCUAUGUACAGUCAGAAAAAGAUGAAAGUAAUCUUCUUUGAUAUAUGACAAGUCGCUCUUUUCAAGUUAAUUUCUGUAUUAUACUACAUGUAUAAUACAUAAUCAGGAAUAAUUCAAUGAUUGACUACUUGAGUGGCCGUUAUGACAGAGAGCUGACACUAUAAGGUUGCCCUAUUUAAUUCAUGC